AUACGUAGGGUGCAAGCGUUAAUCGGAAUUACUGGGCGUAAAGCGUGCGCAGGCCGUUUUGUAAGACAGUGGUGAAAUCCCCGGGCUCAACCUGGGAACUGCCAUUGUGACUGCAAGGCUGGAGUGCGGCAGAGGGGGAUGGAAUUCCGCGUGUAGCAGUGAAAUGCGUAGAUAUGCGGAGGAACACCGAUGGCGAAGGCAGUCCCCUGGGCCUGCACUGACGCUCAUGCACGAAAGCGGGGGGAGCAAACAGGAUUAGAUGCCCUGGUAGUCCACGCCCUAAACGAUGUCAACUGGUUGUUGGGGAUCUAUUUUCUCAGUAACGAAGCUAACGCGUGAAGUUGACCGCCUGGGGAGUACGGCCGCAAGGUUGAAACUCAAAUGAAUUGGCGGGG
RNAcentral lists this ribosomal RNA (395 nucleotides) under uncultured bacterium. RNAcentral's name for it is "partial 16S ribosomal RNA". It matches the Rfam family "Bacterial small subunit ribosomal RNA", at positions 523 to 918 of the family's 1533-position model. The record is from RNAcentral.